This 1393-nucleotide ribosomal RNA is filed under the name uncultured bacterium. Its description in RNAcentral is "bacterial SSU rRNA". It matches the Rfam family "Bacterial small subunit ribosomal RNA", at positions 28 to 1381 of the family's 1533-position model. The record is from RNAcentral.
GACGAACGCUUGCGGCGUGCCUAAUACAUGCAAGUCGAGCGAGCUUGCUUAAAUGAAUUUGGUGCUUGCACCAAAUGAAACUAGAUACAAGCGAGCGGCGGACGGGUGAGUAACACGUGGGUAACCUGCCCAGAGACUGGGAUAACACCUGGAAACAGAUGCUGAUACCGGAUAACAACACUAGACGCAUGGCUAGAGUUCAAAAGAUGGUUCUGCUAUCACUCUUGGAUGGACCUGCGGUGCAUUAGCUAGUUGGCAAGGUAACGGCUUACCAAGGCAAUGAUGCAUAGCCGAGUUGAGAGACUGAUCGGCCACAUUGGGACUGAGACACGGCCCAAACUCCUACGGGAGGCAGCAGUAGGGAAUCUUCCACAAUGGACGCAAGUCUGAUGGAGCAACCCCUCCUGAGUGAAGAAGGGUUUCGGCUCGCAAAGCUCUGUUGGUAGUGAAGAAAGAUACAGGUAGUAACUGGCCUUUAUUUGACGGGAAUUACCUACAAAGUCACGGCUAACUACGUGCCAGCCGCCGGCGGUAAUACGUAGGUGGCAAGCGUUGCUCGGAUUUAUUGGGCGUAAAGCUAGUGGAAACGGUUCAAUAAGUCUGAUGUGAAAGCCUUCGGCUCAACCCGGAGAAUUGCAUCAGAAACUGUUGAACUUGAGUGCAGAAGAGGAGAGCGGAACUCCAUGUGUAGCGGUGGAAUGCGUAGAUAUAUGGAAGAACACCAGUGGCGAAGGCGGCUCUCUGGUCUGCAACUAACGCUGAGGCUCGAAAGCAUGGGUAGCGAACAGGAUUAGAUACCCUGGUAGUCCAUGCCGUAAACGAUGAGUGCUAAGUGUUGGGAGGUUUCCGCCUCUCAGUGCUGCAGCUAACGCAUUAAGCACUCCGCCUGGGGAGUACGACCGCAAGGUUGAAACUCAAAGGAAUUGACGGGGGCCCGCACAAGCGGUGGAGCAUGUGGUUUAAUUCGAAGCAACGCGAAGAACCUUACCAGGUCUUGACAUCCCUCUGACCUCUCUAGAGAUAGAGAUUUCCUUCGGGACAGAGGUGACAGGUGGUGCAUGGUUGUCGUCAGCUCGUGUCGUGAGAUGUUGGGUUAAGUCCCGCAACGAGCGCAACCCCUAUUGUUAGUUGCCAUCAUUCAGUUGGGCACUCUAGCGAGACUGCCGGUAAUAAACCGGAGGAAGGUGGGGAUGACGUCAAAUCAUCAUGCCCCUUAUGACCUGGGCUACACACGUGCUACAAUGGCUGGUACAACGAGUCGCAAGCCGGUGACGGCAAGCUAAUCUCUUAAAGCCAGUCUCAGUUCGGAUUGUAGGCUGCAACUCGCCUACAUGAAGUCGGAAUCGCUAGUAAUCGCGGAUCAGCACGCCGCGGUGAAUACGUUCCCGGGCCU